Molecule: ribosomal RNA, 114 nt
Filed under: Danio rerio (zebrafish)
Lineage: Eukaryota; Metazoa; Chordata; Actinopteri; Cypriniformes; Danionidae
Source: RNAcentral
AGCCACAGCCAUAUCACCCUGCAGCCCAAGAGUUACUCACUGAAAAUAAGCAGGGCUGAGCCUGGUCAGUACCCGGAUGGGAGACCACAUGGGAAAACUAGGUUGCUGUUGGAA